This is a non-coding RNA of Caretta caretta (loggerhead turtle), 3584 nucleotides long. The record is from RefSeq and is a predicted model, not a curated record. NCBI's taxonomy places the organism in Eukaryota, Metazoa, Chordata, Testudines, Cheloniidae.
GGCCUGGUCCUCGGCAAUCCCCCUUCGUGUUACUGCUCCCCAGUCACUUACUGCAGGAAGCGCCAUCCACGGGGUGCAGUACAUCCCACCGCUGCCACCAGUUGUCACGGAGUCCCUGGGCGAUGCUCUGGAACUGCUCCCCAUGAAGUCAGUCAGGACUCUGGGGUAGUCGCCUUUCUGUGAGCAGCCUGUCUUCAGGACACACAGCUCACACAGCUUCCACCUUCCUGGGUCUGACCUCGGAGCAUUCAGCAUCCUCUGCCCCUCCGUGCGCUUUCCCCCAGCGAGUCCGCUCAGGCAGGACUCCUGGGGAAGCCAGAGGGUCCUGCACCCCAACUUCGCAGUCAGACGUGACUCUCAGCCAGCCAGUAAAACAGAAGGUUUAUUAGAUGACAGGAACAUGGUCUAAAACAGAGCUUGCAGGUGCAGAGAACGGGACCCCUCAGCUGGGUCCAUUCUGGGGGGCAGUGAGCCAGACAACCACGUCUGCACUUCACUCCAUGUCCCAGCCAGCCCCAAACUGAAAACCCCUCCAGCCCCUCCUCCUCUGGGCUUUGUUCCUUUCCCGGGCCAGAAGGUCACCUGAUUCCUUUGUUCUCCAACCCUUCAGCUCUCACCUUGCAGGGGGGGAAGGGCCCAGGCCAUCAGUUGCCAGGAAACAGGGUGUCGGCCAUUCUCUGUGUCCAGACCCCUUCACACACCUGCCCUCUAGGGCUCUGCAAUGAUCAUACACCCUUACUCCACCCCCUAGAUACUUAAGAACUGCCUACGGGAAACUGAGGCACCCCCACACUAUUCAGAGGAAACAUUAAGAACAGUCCCACUUCGUCACACUCCGUCAGCCAGAUGGGUGGGGAGGUGGACAGGCUCCCACUCCUGACCCCAACCUAUAUGUCUGUGUGGAGUUUCCUGGGGCCAGGCCCCUCGGACCCCCAGUGGGAGCGGAAGGGGAUGGUCAAUGGGGAGACAUUCCUGGGGUGGCGAGAUCCUGGGACAGAGAGAACUGGUGUCAGGCCCCGGGUGGUGCAGCCUCAGAUGCUGAGGGGCUGUGUGAGCUGGGUGAGGGUCCCAGGGAUGAAGCCCCUCGCCCUGCCUAUGGCCCAGAUCCCCGUGCAGACCCAGGAGGGGUGGGGCUGGCUGGUCGUUGGGGUGCUCCAGGACACCAGCUGCGAGACCCUGUUGUGGGGUGACUGUGUCUCUUUGGGACAGGAUCCAGGCCUUGCUCCUGUAACUGCCAAGGGUUUGAAUUUGAAUCCAGGGAACCAAUCGGCGGAGAGGGAAAUGGUCAGUGAAAAUGCAGAUGACCUGGCUGGCAGCAGGGAGGAGCCGCUAGGCUCAGGCUACCUGCCUGCCUGUAACCAGACCCCUGGGGCUGGGUGGGACAGAGAGAUGCUCCCUGCCCCCUUGCACACCAGACUGGGGACUCUCGCUGGCUCUGAUGCAGUGAGGAAAGCAGUGGCCUGCCCCCACUGGGACAGCAAGGGCAGCGCUGAGCACAGUGGGAGCUGAGACCCCAGCUGAGUGGGGGGAGACACAGGCAGGGCAGGGGAUCUGUGGGGAGUGGCAAGGUGCUUGGUAAGGAAAGUUUGGAUGAACCUAGGCAGCCUUGUGAGCUGAUGGCUGUGUCUAGUCAGCAGGGUGGGAAGGUGAGGAGAGUGGAAGAUGAGUGUCCCUGGACCUUACCUGUUAGCUGGGUGGAGAAUUGGGACAGUGAAGGAAAUGGGUCUCGGUCUGUCAGGGGUAUUGACUUGCCUAUGGAGGGAGCUACCCUGAUCUCCAAGCAGUUGUCUGUGACCAGCCUUGUGUGCUGGGACAAAGGGAAUCAGAUCCCAACCUGUGUGUCUGGGAAAGGAGAAAGUGUGUCCGGCUCUUCUUGGUCUGUGGAGCAGACAGAAGGGGCCUUUCAGCCUGUGAUGAUUGAGGGUCGUGCAGUUGUCUCAGAGCUGGUUCUGGAUUCAGCUAAAGCCCAGGAAGGGAAGGGUCCUAAGUUUCUGUCUGCUCGGGAGAGUGGCCCUGUAACUAGGUCGCAUCCAGUUAGGGUCUAUGUAAAAUCCCCGAGACCAGACAAUUCUGGUGCUUGUAUUUGGCCUGUUGCUAGUGUGUUGUUGGAAAGGGUGGAGCAACUCUGUCUAAUCAGGGUGAGAUCCUAGCCAGGGCACAAGGAGAGCAGGAAGGUGUGUGAUUGUGUUACCUACCGAGGGUGUGGAAACCUGUAGCAAGAAGGAAAAGAUUCCUGAACUUGUGUGUGGCAAAGGGAAGGAGAAUGCUUCUAACCUUUUAUCUAGGAAGUCUGUAAGUUUGCCUGAAAGGGGAUUGUGUAGGAAUCCGCCUGAUGGGCCAGAGGUGAUUCUGGAUGUAAGGGAGACCCAGAAAGAGUCUGUUGUUGCUCAGGAAAGUGUUCCUCUAGAGCAAGCCCUAGGUGAAGAGGGUAAGAGCAGAAUUUCUGGGAGGGGUGAAUUGUUGCAUAGAAAAGCCCUUGGGAAAGGAAUCCUCAUGGAGUCUUUGCAAGCAGUUUACUGCAACUGAAGGGUGUGAAAGUGAUUUAAUCAAGAAAGUUUCAGUUCCUAACAGCCAGAAAUUUUCUGUUGUGAAUGGAUCCACUGACUUUGCUGUUGAAAGAUCCAGUGUGGAGAGCUUUGAGAAGGUCUCAGAUGGAGUGAAAGCUGUUAAGAAAGGUAUACCGUCCUAUAACCAAGUGGCUGUGUUUGGCCAGCUUGUUGGGGAGACAAGGUUGUGGAGGAAGGGAUGUCUCCAUGCUAGUUCUGUAAGUGAACAGUAUGUGGCCCAGGUCAAGAUGGGGGCCCUUAACCAAGAGAGCCCGAAUUGCAGCCCUCCAGACUGGAGCUCUGGGAGAAAACCCAAUCCCAGUUUGACCCCCUGGGUUUUUGGGGUGGCCAAAGGGCAUGGGCUGCAGAAACCUUCCCACAUGCAGCCUGCUAGUGCUAUCAACCACCCCCGACCUAAGGCAGGGCGUGAAACUGGAAGGGCCUGGUGUAACUCCUACCAAGGAAUGGGAGAGAUGCUGGGGCAUCCAUGGGAACAUUGGUGGCUUCAAACUUCCCCAGGUCACCGGCUAAAGUGACCCCGCUCAGUUCGAUCUUGAAGGGGGGAGAGAUGUGACGAAGUGGGCCUGUUCUUAAUGUUUCCUCCGAAUAUUGUGGGGGUGCCUCAGUUUCCCCUAUGCAGUUCUUAAGUAUCUAGGGGGUGGAGUAAGGGUGUAUGAUCAUUGCAGAGCCCUAGAGGGCAGGUGUGUGCAGGAGUCUGGACACAGAGAAUGGCCAACACCCUGUUUCCUGGCAACUGAUGGCCUGGGCCCUUCCCCCCCUGCAAGAUGAGAGCUGAAGGGUUGGAGAACAAAGGAAUCAGGUGACCACCUGGCCCAGGAAAGGAACAAAGCCCAGAGGAGGAGGGGCUGGAGGGAGUUUCAGUUUGGGGCUGGCUGGGACAUGGAGUGAAGGGCAGACGGGGUUGUCUGGCUCACUGCCCCCCAAAAUGGACCCAGCUGAGGGGUCCCGUUCUCUGCACCUGCAAGCUCUGUUUUAGACCAUGUUCCUGUCGUCUAAUAAACCUUCUGUUUUACUGGC